GUUAUAUGGUCAAGUGAAGAAGCGCAUACGGUGGAUGCCUUGGCAGUCAGAGGCGAUGAAAGACGUGGUAGCCUGCGAAAAGCUUCGGGGAGUCGGCAAACAGACUGUGAUCCGGAGAUGUCUGAAUGGGGGAACCCAGCCAUCAUAAGAUGGUUAUCUUGUACUGAAUACAUAGGUGCAAGAGGCGAACCAGGGGAACUGAAACAUCUAAGUACCCUGAGGAAAAGAAAUCAACCGAGAUUCCCUUAGUAGUGGCGAGCGAACGGGGACCAGCCCUUAAGUUGUAUUGAGAUUAGCGGAACGUUCUGGAAAGGACGGCCAUAGUGGGUGAUAGCCCUGUACGCGAAAAUCCCUUUGCAAUGAAAUCGAGUAGGACGGGGCACGAGAAACCUUGUCUGAAUAUGGGGGGACCAUCCUCCAAGGCUAAAUACUACUGACUGACCGAUAGUGAACCAGUACCGUGAGGGAAAGGCGAAAAGAACCGCGGAGAGCGGAGUGAAAUAGAUCCUGAAACCGUAUGCGUACAAGCAGUGGGAGCCCACUUUGUUGGGUGACUGCGUACCUUUUGUAUAAUGGGUCAGCGACUUAUUUUCAGUGGCGAGCUUAACCGAAUAGGGGAGGCGUAGCGAAAGCGAGUCUUAAUAGGGCGUCUAGUCGCUGGGAAUAGACCCGAAACCGGGCGAUCUAUCCAUGGGCAGGUUGAAGGUUGGGUAACACUAACUGGAGGACCGAACCGACUACCGUUGAAAAGUUAGCGGAUGACCUGUGGAUCGGAGUGAAAGGCUAAUCAAGCUCGGAGAUAGCUGGUUCUCCUCGAAAGCUAUUUAGGUAGCGCCUCAUGUAUCACUGUAGGGGGUAGAGCACUGUUUCGGCUAGGGGGUCAUCCCGACUUACCAAACCGAUGCAAACUCCGAAUACCUACAAGUGCCGAGCAUGGGAGACACACGGCGGGUGCUAACGUCCGUCGUGAAAAGGGAAACAACCCAGACCGUCAGCUAAGGUCCCAAAGUCAUGGUUAAGUGGGAAACGAUGUGGGAAGGCUUAGACAGCUAGGAGGUUGGCUUAGAAGCAGCCACCCUUUAAAGAAAGCGUAAUAGCUCACUAGUCGAGUCGGCCUGCGCGGAAGAUGUAACGGGGCUCAAACCAUGCACCGAAGCUACGGGUAUCAUCUUUUGAUGAUGCGGUAGAGGAGCGUUCUGUAAGCCUGUGAAGGUGAGUUGAGAAGCUUGCUGGAGGUAUCAGAAGUGCGAAUGCUGACAUGAGUAACGACAAUGGGUGUGAAAAACACCCACGCCGAAAGACCAAGGUUUCCUGCGCAACGUUAAUCGACGCAGGGUUAGUCGGUCCCUAAGGCGAGGCUGAAAAGCGUAGUCGAUGGAAAACAGGUUAAUAUUCCUGUACUUCUGGUUAUUGCGAUGGAGGGACGGAGAAGGCUAGGCCAGCCUGGCGUUGGUAGUCCAGGUUUAAGGUGGUAGGCUGAGAUCUUAGGUAAAUCCGGGAUCUUAAGGCCGAGAGCUGAUGACGAGUGUUCUUUUAGAACAUGAAGUGGUUGAUGCCAUGCUUCCAAGAAAAGCUUCUAAGCUUCAGGUAACCAGGAACCGUACCCCAAACCGACACAGGUGGUUGGGUAGAGAAUACCAAGGCGCUUGAGAGAACUCGGGUGAAGGAACUAGGCAAAAUGGCACCGUAACUUCGGGAGAAGGUGCGCCGGUGAGGGUGAAGCAUUUACUGCGUAAGCCCACGCCGGUCGAAGAUACCAGGCCGCUGCGACUGUUUAUUAAAAACACAGCACUCUGCAAACACGAAAGUGGACGUAUAGGGUGUGACGCCUGCCCGGUGCCGGAAGGUUAAUUGAUGGGGUUAGCGCAAGCGAAGCUCUUGAUCGAAGCCCCGGUAAACGGCGGCCGUAACUAUAACGGUCCUAAGGUAGCGAAAUUCCUUGUCGGGUAAGUUCCGACCUGCACGAAUGGCGUAACGAUGGCGGCGCUGUCUCCACCCGAGACUCAGUGAAAUUGAAAUCGCUGUGAAGAUGCAGUGUAUCCGCGGCUAGACGGAAAGACCCCGUGAACCUUUACUAUAGCUUUGCACUGGACUUUGAAUUUGCUUGUGUAGGAUAGGUGGGAGGCUUUGAAGCGUGGACGCCAGUCUGCGUGGAGCCAACCUUGAUCCGUUAUCCGGAUCGAGGACAGUGUAUGGUGGGUAGUUUGACUGGGGCGGUCUCCUCCUAAAGAGUAACGGAGGAGUACGAAGGUGCGCUCAGACCGGUCGGAAAUCGGUCGUAGAGUAUAAAGGCAAAAGCGCGCUUGACUGCGAGACAGACACGUCGAGCAGGUACGAAAGUAGGUCUUAGUGAUCCGGUGGUUCUGUAUGGAAGGGCCAUCGCUCAACGGAUAAAAGGUACUCCGGGGAUAACAGGCUGAUACCGCCCAAGAGUUCAUAUCGACGGCGGUGUUUGGCACCUCGAUGUCGGCUCAUCACAUCCUGGGGCUGAAGCCGGUCCCAAGGGUAUGGCUGUUCGCCAUUUAAAGUGGUACGCGAGCUGGGUUUAGAACGUCGUGAGACAGUUCGGUCCCUAUCUGCCGUGGACGUUUGAGAUUUGAGAGGGGCUGCUCCUAGUACGAGAGGACCGGAGUGGACGAACCUCUGGUGUUCCGGUUGUCACGCCAGUGGCAUUGCCGGGUAGCUAUGUUCGGAAAAGAUAACCGCUGAAAGCAUCUAAGCGGGAAACUUGCCUCAAGAUGAGAUCUCACUGGAACCUUGAGUUCCCUGAAGGGCCGUCGAAGACUACGACGUUGAUAGGUUGGGUGUGUAAGCGCUGUGAGGCGUUGAGCUAACCAAUACUAAUUGCCCGUGAGGCUUGACCAUAUAACACCCAAGCAAUU
RNAcentral lists this ribosomal RNA (2882 nucleotides) under Pseudomonas syringae pv. syringae PD2766. Its description in RNAcentral is "bacterial LSU rRNA". It matches the Rfam family "Bacterial large subunit ribosomal RNA". Lineage: Bacteria; Pseudomonadati; Pseudomonadota; Gammaproteobacteria; Pseudomonadales; Pseudomonadaceae. The record is from RNAcentral.